ACCUAAAUAGUUUAAGGAGAAAAUAUUAGUUUGUGGCGCUUGAGAUGUAAAUUGUUACUUUAGGUA
This 66-nucleotide transfer RNA is filed under the name Cardisoma carnifex (blue land crab). Its description in RNAcentral is "tRNA-His". It matches the Rfam family "tRNA". Rfam says of the family: Transfer RNA (tRNA) molecules are approximately 80 nucleotides in length. Their secondary structure includes four short double-helical elements and three loops (D, anti-codon, and T loops). Lineage: Eukaryota; Metazoa; Arthropoda; Malacostraca; Decapoda; Gecarcinidae. The record is from RNAcentral.